GCUGGCGGCGUGCUUAACACAUGCAAGUCGAACGGGAACCUCUGGAUUCGUCUGGAGGGGAGAGUGGCGAACGGGUGAGUAACACGUAGGUGACCUGCCUCGAAGACGAGGAUAACCACUGGAAACGGUGGCUAAUACUCGAUGGUCUCGAUAAUUCGGUUUAUCGAGUAAAGGCUCUGGCGCUUUGAGAGGGACCUGCGGCCCAUCAGCUAGUUGGUAGGGUAACGGCCUACCAAGGCGAAGACGGGUAGGGGGCGUGAGAGCGUGACCCCCCACACUGGCACUGGGACACGGGCCAGACUCCUACGGGAGGCAGCAGUGAGGAAUAUUGCGCAAUGAGCGAAAGCUAGACGCAGCAACGCCGCGUGGGUGAUGAAGGCCUUCGGGUCGUAAAACCCUUUUCUGGGGGAAGAGUAAGGACGGUACCCCAGGAAUAAGCCUCGGCUAACUAUGUGCCAGCAGCCGCGGUAAUACAUAGGAGGCAAGCGUUAUCCGGAUUUACUGGGCGUAAAGAGCGUUGAGGCGGCUUCGUAAGUUGGACGUGAAAGCUCCCGGCUUAACUGGGAGAGGCCGUUCAAUACUGCGGGGCUUGAGGGCAGCAGAGGGGGGUGGAAUUUCCGGUGUAGUGGUGAAAUGCGUAGAUAUCGGAAGGAACACCAGUGGCGAAGGCGGCCCCCUGGGCUGCUCCUGACGCUGAAGGCGAAAGCUAGGGGAGCGAACGGGAUUAGAAACCCCGGUAGUCCUAGCCGUAAACGAUGGAUACUAGGUGUAGGAGGUUACAAUUCCUUCUGUGCCGGAGCUAACGCGUUAAGUAUCCCGCCUGGGGA
This 827-nucleotide ribosomal RNA is filed under the name uncultured organism. RNAcentral describes it as "bacterial SSU rRNA". It matches the Rfam family "Bacterial small subunit ribosomal RNA", at positions 35 to 879 of the family's 1533-position model. The record is from RNAcentral.